CCUCCAAGCGCCGCCAUCCUAUUCCCCAAACAUUAAAAAUUCUCUCAACUAAUCCUGAGUUAAUCUUAUUUAUUUUUCAAACAAGAUAAGUUCUAAAACUCUUCAAUUUGGUGGUAGUUUUGAUAUCAUGGGUAUGAUUACGUGGUGUUAUUUCUACUCUUAUUUUAUCCAUAGCCCUUUUGUACUGCAUCUUGCGCAUAAAAAUUCUUAUGCAUCAUUAGUAGUUGUCGUUGUGCUCGUGUUGUUAGUUGUUGAAUUGAUUAGUUAUUGCUUCAUUAAGUUGCCUUAGGGGAUAUCGACGGGGCUUUACUAAUUUGAGGGUAUGUAGUUCAAGUUAAAGUGUGGGGUGGGGCGAGUUCUUUGUACUUUCUAUAUAUACAAUUGGGCUUCGAUUCAUGAAUGUUGUUUUAGUCUAAAUACAUAGAUAGAGGAUGUAUCUACCAAAACAAAGGUUACUUGCUCUUUUUGUGCUUGAUUAUGUUAAUUAUUACAUGCAACAUCGAGAUUGAUGUCGUAUCGCAAAGGGAAGUCUGAGUACCUACUGUGAUAAUUCUGAAAUGCUACGCACAUAAUCGAGCUUGCACUAUCUUGUUCACCUUACUAAUUAGUAACUGAAUUACAUAAUGGUAUGUUCAAAGUGGAUUGAUCUUAACCGAAUUGUUGAACUAGACAUUCUUUGACCAUAUACUAUGUGGCCUAUGAUUGAGUAAUUGGUUAGCAUAGAUUAGUUGUUGUUAAGUUAGUUGACGCCCUUUUAACUGUGACAUUUUCUGUUAUGCACUUUCUACUAUCGUUAGAAUUAAGUAUGGAACUAUUGAAAUACAGUCUAGGUACACUUGCACAAUGUAGUAAAAUUGGAGUACUCUUAUUAACCUAUCCUGUAAUAUGAGUAGCAUCGAUAACAACAAAGUGUUAGGUGGCGUUUUCACUAGUCCAAAUGUAGUGAAGUUAGCAUGCUCUAAGCCAUAUUGAAAUGUCUUUGUUGCCUAUUUUAAAUCUCAGGAAUUAUGAAUCGAAGGAAACUAGGACUAAAUGGAAAAUCAAGGACUUCAAAGUCAGCGAGGAAAUGCAGCAGACCAGCUGCGAGGCAAAUUAAUAGAGUGCCCCAUGCUCCUCCAGUCCUACAUGGUCAAACACGUAGAUUUGGGUUUAAGGAAGUUAGGCAAGACGGAAAGCAAUGGCACUCCAAACACCUCGACACCAAAUACAUACCUAAGAUGUUUAUUGAUAGUGUAAGUCUAUAGAGAAAAUGACCAAGUAUGGUAAGUCAUCUGGAGCAGCUGAACAUAGUUUUCAUUUUCCACUAGCUGCGUGAAUGCAAUUUGCAUCUUGUGCAUGAGUUUUAUGCAAAUUAGGACCCAAGGGAUGUACAUCAUGAGGUGAAAGUUCAUGGUAAAAUCGUCAUAUUUACUUUAGAGGACAUCAAUGACUUGUUGGGAAUACCUGAGGCAGAUGUACAUUAGUUAAAAUAGUUGAUUAUCACUCUGAAUUAUGCUUACAAUCUACAUCUGUUGUGUGGUACUCAUUCAUUAGCCCGAUAGACUAGACAAAAGGGCACAGGUCUUCAUUCCUCAUUACCAUAUGCAUAGAUGAACAAGGAAGCUCGCAUAUGGGGAUGAAUUAUGCACUAUUUCCUAAUUCAAGGCAAGCAUAUGACUGAGGUUACACAUAAACGGGUAUGUUUGACUUACGCUUCAUAGUGUAAUGAUGUUGCAAUGAAUGUAAUCCAUGUCAUAUUUUCUGCCAUAAAAAAGGCACGCUUCAUUGAGAGAUACUGAUAUGGAUUUGGAGGCUUAUUGACUAAGUUCAUAAGGUGGCACUAGGUAGAGAAGAAGGAAUUAGAUUAUAAGGCUAUAAUAGAUAACCACCCUAUUGAUUUUACUAGAGCCAAGAGCACAGCUGGGCCCUUAGGACCAAUUCUUACUAUGGCCGAGUGUCAAAAUUAGACUGAUGAAAUCAUGUCUAGAACAUACAAUUUUUAGAUGUUGUACAUGAGGCUUGGGGGAAGAGCAACCACAGAUGAAGAGAUUCAUGUUGUUGACUUGGAUUACCCGCUCGGUCAUCACGCCAAGACAUUGCUGAGGAUUGGACCAGAGUUUAUGGAACCGACAGAUAAUGAUAUACCUACCAAUGAAGACAGACAGUGGCAUGACUUAAAUAUUGAGUCUAAUAUUGAUGAUUAGUCUGAGGAUGUUGAUGGACAGGAUGAUAUUGAUGCAUCUAAUAAUGGUGAUGCAACACAAGUUGACAUGGCUGAUGCCUAGGUUUGCACAUACAAAGAUAGUGCUCUUCCUACGUGUGGGGUGGUCUUGCACCCUCUUCCCUUUUCCUUUUGUCUCUUGAUGUGUGAGAAAAAUCUAACAUAUUUAAUGCUUUUUAGCUCAAAAUAAUUGUGAAUUCUGAAGCAACUCUUGUCGUUUUGAUGUGUUUUCUCAUGAUAUUGCAGUAAAAGGCUGAAGGAAUGGAAAUAAACGAUAAUGGAGAAAAAAAGUUGAAAAUCUGAGCAAAAGAGAAGAAAACAUGACUGACGACAUCCGUGAUAAGUCGUCAGCCUUGUGAUAGACUAUCAGAAGCGGCGUCAGCCUUAACUAGGGACUUGAGUCUGAGAGAAAGUUCUGACAACAUUGGUAAUAAGGCGUCAAGAUAGUGAUAAGGCAUUACAAAUGUCGUCAGCCUUAGCCAGAGAAUCAGAGCUCAAAGAAGAAAUCUGGCGACGCUGGUGAUAUGCCGUCAGAUCAAUGACACGACAUCAGCUACAUCGUUAGCCUAAGAUAGAUUUUGAAGACAGCUGGAGCAACCCUGAUGCCAUCCAUGAUAAGGCAUCAGAUCCUUGACAUGGUGUCAUCUAGUGCGUCACCUAAUCCGAAGAACUUAUGAUUUUUGUUAUUUUAUUUCCAUAAUUAGACUUAAGUAUAAAUAACAUCUUUUAGGGUUUAUUGAGGAGUUCGGUUCUUUUUAGAGAGCAGAUUAUUUUUUAUCCUAAGACUUAGAGAAAAAAACAUUAUUCUUCAUUGUUUCUUUUCCUCAACACUUAUCAAUUAUUGUAGAUUUCUCUUUCGUGAUUGAAUUGAAGAAACAACUUGUUGCUUUUCAUCUGUUCGUAAG
This 3105-nucleotide long non-coding RNA is filed under the name Capsicum annuum. Its description in RNAcentral is "long non-coding RNA (CANN_LNC005590)". The record is from RNAcentral. Lineage: Eukaryota; Viridiplantae; Streptophyta; Magnoliopsida; Solanales; Solanaceae.